Molecule: ribosomal RNA, 429 nt
Filed under: Acidobacteriota bacterium
Lineage: Bacteria; Pseudomonadati; Acidobacteriota
Description: Acidobacteria bacterium partial 16S ribosomal RNA
Rfam family: Bacterial small subunit ribosomal RNA
Source: RNAcentral
UGGGGAAUUUUGGACAAUGGGGGAAACCCUGAUCCAGCCAUCCCGCGUGUGCGAUGAAGGCCUUCGGGUUGUAAAGCACUUUUGGCAGGAAAGAAACGUCAUGGGUUAAUACCCCGUGAAACUGACGGUACCUGCAGAAUAAGCACCGGCUAACUACGUGCCAGCAGCCGCGGUAAGACGUAGGGUGCAAGCGUUAAUCGGAAUUACUGGGCGUAAAGCGUGCGCAGGCGGUUCGGAAAGAAAGAUGUGAAAUCCCAGAGCUCAACUUUGGAACUGCAUUUUUAACUACCGGGCUAGAGUGUGUCAGAGGGAGGUGGAAUUCCGCGUGUAGCAGUGAAAUGCGUAGAUAUGCGGAGAAACACCGAUGGCGAAGGCAGCCUCCUGGGAUAACACUGACGCUAAUGCACGAAAGCGUGGGGAGCAAACAGG